RNAcentral lists this ribosomal RNA (446 nucleotides) under uncultured bacterium. Its description in RNAcentral is "partial 16S ribosomal RNA". It matches the Rfam family "Bacterial small subunit ribosomal RNA", at positions 329 to 792 of the family's 1533-position model. The record is from RNAcentral.
GACCAGACUCCUACGGGAGGCAGCAGUGGGGAAUAUUGCACAAUGGGGGAAACCCUGAUGCAGCGACGCCGCGUGAGCGAUGAAGUAUUUCGGUAUGUAAAGCUCUAUCAGCAGGGAAGAAGAUGACGGUACCUGACUAAGAAGCCCCGGCUAACUACGUGCCAGCAGCCGCGGUAAUACGUAGGGGGCAAGCGUUAUCCGGAUUUACUGGGUGUAAAGGGAGCGUAGACGGCGAUGCAAGCCAGAUGUGAAAGCCCGGGGCUCAACCCCGGGACUGCUCUUGGAACUGCGUGGCUGGAGUGCAGGAGGGGCAGGCGGAAUUCCUGGUGUAGCGGUGAAAUGCGUAGAUAUCAGGAGGAACACCGGUGGCGAAGGCGGCCUGCUGGACUGCGACUGACGUUGAGGCCCGAAAGCGUGGGGAGCAAACAGGAUUAGAUACCCGAGUA